Molecule: ribosomal RNA, 2902 nt
Filed under: human gut metagenome
Description: bacterial LSU rRNA
Rfam family: Bacterial large subunit ribosomal RNA
Source: RNAcentral
UUAAGCGACUAAGCGUACACGGUGGAUGCCCUGGCAGUCAGAGGCGAUGAAGGACGUGCUAAUCUGCGAUAAGCGUCGGUAAGGUGAUAUGAACCGUUAUAACCGGCGAUUUCCGAAUGGGGAAACCCAGUGUGUUUCGACACACUAUCAUUAACUGAAUCCAUAGGUUAAUGAGGCGAACCGGGGGAACUGAAACAUCUAAGUACCCCGAGGAAAAGAAAUCAACCGAGAUUCCCCCAGUAGCGGCGAGCGAACGGGGAGCAGCCCAGAGCCUGAAUCAGUGUGUGUGUUAGUGGAAGCGUCUGGAAAGGCGCGCGAUACAGGGUGACAGCCCCGUACACAAAAAUACACAUACUGUGAGCUCGAUGAGUAGGGCGGGACACGUGGUAUCCUGUCUGAAUAUGGGGGGACCAUCCUCCAAGGCUAAAUACUCCUGACUGACCGAUAGUGAACCAGUACCGUGAGGGAAAGGCGAAAAGAACCCCGGCGAGGGGAGUGAAAAAGAACCUGAAACCGUGUACGUACAAGCAGUGGGAGCACGCUUAGGCGUGUGACUGCGUACCUUUUGUAUAAUGGGUCAGCGACUUAUAUUCUGUAGCAAGGUUAACCGAAUAGGGGAGCCGAAGGGAAACCGAGUCUUAACUGGGCGUUAAGUUGCAGGGUAUAGACCCGAAACCCGGUGAUCUAGCCAUGGGCAGGUUGAAGGUUGGGUAACACUAACUGGAGGACCGAACCGACUAAUGUUGAAAAAUUAGCGGAUGACUUGUGGCUGGGGGUGAAAGGCCAAUCAAACCGGGAGAUAGCUGGUUCUCCCCGAAAGCUAUUUAGGUAGCGCCUCGUGAAUUCAUCUCCGGGGGUAGAGCACUGUUUCGGCAAGGGGGUCAUCCCGACUUACCAACCCGAUGCAAACUGCGAAUACCGGAGAAUGUUAUCACGGGAGACACACGGCGGGUGCUAACGUCCGUCGUGAAGAGGGAAACAACCCAGACCGCCAGCUAAGGUCCCAAAGUCAUGGUUAAGUGGGAAACGAUGUGGGAAGGCCCAGACAGCCAGGAUGUUGGCUUAGAAGCAGCCAUCAUUUAAAGAAAGCGUAAUAGCUCACUGGUCGAGUCGGCCUGCGCGGAAGAUGUAACGGGGCUAAACCAUGCACCGAAGCUGCGGCAGCGACGCUUAUGCGUUGUUGGGUAGGGGAGCGUUCUGUAAGCCUGUGAAGGUGUACUGUGAGGUAUGCUGGAGGUAUCAGAAGUGCGAAUGCUGACAUAAGUAACGAUAAAGCGGGUGAAAAGCCCGCUCGCCGGAAGACCAAGGGUUCCUGUCCAACGUUAAUCGGGGCAGGGUGAGUCGACCCCUAAGGCGAGGCCGAAAGGCGUAGUCGAUGGGAAACAGGUUAAUAUUCCUGUACUUGGUGUUACUGCGAAGGGGGGACGGAGAAGGCUAUGUUGGCCGGGCGACGGUUGUCCCGGUUUAAGCGUGUAGGCUGGUUUUCCAGGCAAAUCCGGAAAAUCAAGGCUGAGGCGUGAUGACGAGGCACUACGGUGCUGAAGCAACAAAUGCCCUGCUUCCAGGAAAAGCCUCUAAGCAUCAGGUAACAUCAAAUCGUACCCCAAACCGACACAGGUGGUCAGGUAGAGAAUACCAAGGCGCUUGAGAGAACUCGGGUGAAGGAACUAGGCAAAAUGGUGCCGUAACUUCGGGAGAAGGCACGCUGAUAUGUAGGUGAAGCGACUUGCUCGUGGAGCUGAAAUCAGUCGAAGAUACCAGCUGGCUGCAACUGUUUAUUAAAAACACAGCACUGUGCAAACACGAAAGUGGACGUAUACGGUGUGACGCCUGCCCGGUGCCGGAAGGUUAAUUGAUGGGGUCAGCGCAAGCGAAGCUCUUGAUCGAAGCCCCGGUAAACGGCGGCCGUAACUAUAACGGUCCUAAGGUAGCGAAAUUCCUUGUCGGGUAAGUUCCGACCUGCACGAAUGGCGUAAUGAUGGCCAGGCUGUCUCCACCCGAGACUCAGUGAAAUUGAACUCGCUGUGAAGAUGCAGUGUACCCGCGGCAAGACGGAAAGACCCCGUGAACCUUUACUAUAGCUUGACACUGAACAUUGAGCCUUGAUGUGUAGGAUAGGUGGGAGGCUUUGAAGUGUGGACGCCAGUCUGCAUGGAGCCGACCUUGAAAUACCACCCUUUAAUGUUUGAUGUUCUAACGUUGACCCGUAAUCCGGGUUGCGGACAGUGUCUGGUGGGUAGUUUGACUGGGGCGGUCUCCUCCUAAAGAGUAACGGAGGAGCACGAAGGUUGGCUAAUCCUGGUCGGACAUCAGGAGGUUAGUGCAAUGGCAUAAGCCAGCUUGACUGCGAGCGUGACGGCGCGAGCAGGUGCGAAAGCAGGUCAUAGUGAUCCGGUGGUUCUGAAUGGAAGGGCCAUCGCUCAACGGAUAAAAGGUACUCCGGGGAUAACAGGCUGAUACCGCCCAAGAGUUCAUAUCGACGGCGGUGUUUGGCACCUCGAUGUCGGCUCAUCACAUCCUGGGGCUGAAGUAGGUCCCAAGGGUAUGGCUGUUCGCCAUUUAAAGUGGUACGCGAGCUGGGUUUAGAACGUCGUGAGACAGUUCGGUCCCUAUCUGCCGUGGGCGCUGGAGAACUGAGGGGGGCUGCUCCUAGUACGAGAGGACCGGAGUGGACGCAUCACUGGUGUUCGGGUUGUCAUGCCAAUGGCACUGCCCGGUAGCUAAAUGCGGAAGAGAUAAGUGCUGAAAGCAUCUAAGCACGAAACUUGCCCCGAGAUGAGUUCUCCCUGACUCCUUGAGAGUCCUGAAGGAACGUUGAAGACGACGACGUUGAUAGGCCGGGUGUGUAAGCGCAGCGAUGCGUUGAGCUAACCGGUACUAAUGAACCGUGAGGCUUAACCUU